CCUACGGGCGGCAGCAGUGAGGAAUAUUGGUCAAUGGGCGCAAGCCUGAACCAGCCAAGUAGCGUGCAGGAUGACUGCCCUCCGGGUUGUAAACUUCUUUUAUAAAGGAAUAAAGUGAGGCACGUGAGCCUUUUUUUAUGUGUUUUAUGAAUAAGAGUCGGCUAACUCCGUGCCAGCAGCCGCGGUAAUACGGAGGAUCCGCGCGUUAUCCGGAUUUAUUGGGUUUAAAGGGAGCGUAGAUGGGUUGUUAAGUCAGCUGUGAAAGUUUGCGGCUCAACCGUAAAAUUGCAAUUGAUACUGGCAGCCUUGAGUACAGUUGAGGUAGGCGGAAUUCGUGGUGUAGCGGUGAAAUGCUUAGAUAUCAUGAAGAACUCCGAUUGCGAAGGCA
Molecule: ribosomal RNA, 388 nt
Filed under: uncultured bacterium
Lineage: Bacteria
Description: partial 16S ribosomal RNA
Rfam family: Bacterial small subunit ribosomal RNA
Source: RNAcentral